Molecule: long non-coding RNA, 362 nt
Filed under: Musa acuminata (dwarf banana)
Lineage: Eukaryota; Viridiplantae; Streptophyta; Magnoliopsida; Zingiberales; Musaceae
Description: long non-coding RNA (MACU_LNC002212)
Source: RNAcentral
CAUUGACUCGAAGAUAUCGAUCAGGUGGGUGAUGCUCUCACGGCCCUUGGGAAGGGCUUCAGCUUGCUGUGCAAUGGAAACGCGUCCGUCUCUUCGGCCAUAGACGUUCCCCCAGUAUGGCCCUCCGACCUGCAUGCAUGCAUGCCCGUCGUUUCACGCACGGCAACUUCGAUCUAAAUCGCAAAGGAAGAAGAUGGAGUAGUCGGCGUCAGUACCAUAAGAGUGGCAUCCCUCGCUGCAGCCACGAGUAUGUCGGCGCAGGAGACGGUCUUGGGGCACCGCCUCUCGAUCUCCGCCUUGAUGUCGUCGAUCACGUGGAAGCCCCUCAGCGUCGCGCUCACUGGCGACCGCCUCUCCCCUCC